Molecule: ribosomal RNA, 522 nt
Filed under: Allobosea sp. ILI-S4-I11
Lineage: Bacteria; Pseudomonadati; Pseudomonadota; Alphaproteobacteria; Hyphomicrobiales; Alloboseaceae
Description: bacterial SSU rRNA
Rfam family: Bacterial small subunit ribosomal RNA
Source: RNAcentral
UCGGUGCUAGUGGCAGACGGGUGAGUAACGCGUGGGAACGUGCCUUUCGGUUCGGAAUAAUUCAGGGAAACUUGGACUAAUACCGGAUACGCCCUUCGGGGGAAAGAUUUAUCGCCGAAAGAUCGGCCCGCGUCUGAUUAGCUAGUUGGUGAGGUAAUGGCUCACCAAGGCGACGAUCAGUAGCUGGUCUGAGAGGAUGAUCAGCCACAUUGGGACUGAGACACGGCCCAAACUCCUACGGGAGGCAGCAGUGGGGAAUAUUGGACAAUGGGCGCAAGCCUGAUCCAGCCAUGCCGCGUGAGUGAUGAAGGCCUUAGGGUUGUAAAGCUCUUUUGUCCGGGAAGAUAAUGACUGUACCGGAAGAAUAAGCCCCGGCUAACUUCGUGCCAGCAGCCGCGGUAAUACGAAGGGGGCUAGCGUUGCUCGGAAUCACUGGGCGUAAAGGGCGCGUAGGCGGACUCUUAAGUCGGGGGUGAAAGCCCAGGGCUCAACCCUGGAAUUGCCUUCGAUACUGGGAGUCUU